Cyprinus carpio (common carp) is the source of this 664-nucleotide long non-coding RNA. The record is from Ensembl. Lineage: Eukaryota; Metazoa; Chordata; Actinopteri; Cypriniformes; Cyprinidae.
AUUAGUUCCCUAUUGAUUGAUUUGAUUUGAUGAUAUUCUCCAAUAAGAAAAUAAAAAUAUGUUAAUGAACUUAUGUUGAUGUUGCUAAAAUAUUUUUCUCUUUGAGGGACUAGAUGUGAGCAGCCAAAUGCAAUCUUUUUCUUUAGGUUGCAUUUUUUUCUAUACUUUAAUAAUAAAAAAUAUAUAUAUUGAAAGUUUUUACAAAGCCAGUGAAAACACCUUUGUGUACUUUGGCUCACACCUUGUAUUUGGUGAGAUACUUCCCUUGUGACAACUAGCCCCUUCUAUAUAUUUUUUGUGUGUGUGGUAAUUUUUUUUAAGAAAUGAAAGAUGUGUUUGAGCACCCAGUUAACAGAAGCAGAGCUCUGGGACAUGCGGACAGACAUUCGCUGUAAUGAUGGACAUCUGCUCAUGGACAGGCUGAAAAGCAUAACCACUGCUGGACAUUGCUCUGGGACUCGGGGGGGACCCGAACCAUCCUCACCCCUUCUUUCACACACCAUUCACUCAUAUCACAGAGAUCCAGCUGGGAUUGAACCAGCAACCUCUGAACCAUGAGGCAGUGCUCCUACCAGUGAGCCACAGAUCUCUUGUUGGGACAUGUGAAGGAACUUAUAUUUCACUAUUAACAUUUAAUUUUACAAUAAACUAGUUAAAGAUUUCA